RNAcentral lists this long non-coding RNA (1321 nucleotides) under Anolis carolinensis (green anole). Its description in RNAcentral is "lncRNA (ENSACAG00000036276.1)". Lineage: Eukaryota; Metazoa; Chordata; Lepidosauria; Squamata; Anolidae. The record is from RNAcentral.
AAUCUGACUGUAGAUGGGAACCAUCACAAUGAGGACUUGACUGAACAAAGGAUGCCCCCCGGCAAGGGACAAAACAUUUCCAGUGCCAAUUAGGGUGAUUAACUGAAACAUUAAUGCUGGCUCCCAGUGACAGAACUCUUGCCACACCUUGGACUCUACACAGAUAUAUAUUCUUUCCUUUCCUGACUUAGUUUAUCCAUACCUCACAACCUCUGAGGAUGCCUGCCAUAGAUGUGGGCGAAACGUCAGGAGAGAAUGCUUCUGGAACAUGGCCACACAGCCCGAAAGACAUACAACAACCCCAACGUUGUGAAGUCUGUUUGGAAACUAGGAAAAGUGGGGUUUAUAUAUCUGUGGAAUAAGGUCCAGGGUGGGAGAAAGAACUCUUGUCUGUUUGAGGCAAGUGUAAAUGUUGCAAUUAAACAUCUUGAUUAGCACUGAGUGGCCUUGCAGAUUCAAAACCUUCCUGCUUCUUGCCUGGGAGGAUCCUUUGUUGGGAAUGGGAGGUGUUAGCUGGCCCUGAUUGUUUCCUGUCUUGAAUUCCCGUUUUUGGACGGGGGAGGUGUGUGAUUGGAGAGUACGGGCCUGAACUACUUGCUGAGGCGUGCUAUUUUUGUUUGUGUAAUGGGUUGUUUCCUCAAGCACACACAAAACUAGCAGGAGCGGAAGAGAAGCGCGCGCGAAGGAGGGAAAGAACCUCCCCGUGGUUUUCCAGCGAGGCGGGGCCGUGGGGAGGGGGGGAGCGUGAAGCGCGUGCAACUCUCCUCGGAAGAGCGCGCGCUGGAGAAAAGCGCCGUCAUUGAAAACCGGCGCGUGCCUCUGGUGGUUGCUGUGCCUCAGCCGGCUUCAGCCCGGCCCCGCCCCUCAACGGCUCCUGCUCGCGACGCCUGCCCAGAUGGAGGGAAAAGGCGGGAAGCGGUGGAGGGGGAAGGUAUUAUUGAGACCACUAUUAAUUCCAACUGCAGGUGCCAAUAUCUGCUUCUUACGACCAAAUCAAAGGAACUGUUAAUAAUUCUACAAUGUUACAACCAUUACCAAGUGACUUCUGUGGUAAGUGUCUUUGAAACAUGAAUUCAUAAAUAUUCAUAUCUGCUGAAUUUUUUCCCUUCUUUUUCUUCUUUUUAAAUCCCUAGCUAGGGGAGUUUAAUUACUGCUUCAUCCUCCAUCCUUUUCUCACUGGAGGCAUCCCUCCCGUGUCAUAUAUCAUCAUUGUGAUUAUUAUGUUACUUGCACAGCUGUUGUCUACUCAGGCAAAAAAAACCCUGCUUCAACUCACAUUUUGUGGUCCAUAGUGACCACAUUAUCACCACACACAUCGUUA